This 2144-nucleotide long non-coding RNA is filed under the name Gossypium barbadense (sea-island cotton). Its description in RNAcentral is "long non-coding RNA (GBAR_LNC016620)". Lineage: Eukaryota; Viridiplantae; Streptophyta; Magnoliopsida; Malvales; Malvaceae. The record is from RNAcentral.
AAACAAAGGCAGCCGAUCUAGGUGUUUUGCUCUUUGAAUCUCCAACAAUCCAUCAUCACUUUAGGUAUUGUACUCUUUGGAUCUCUCCUUUUAGGGAUUUUACUCAAAAAUUACUAUUUGUGUUUAUUGGUCAUUGUGCUUUAGAGAUCAAGAAUUUUUUUCACAGUGGGCAACGACAAAGAAUAGAUGUUUAAAGCUUGGUUUUAAAUUUAAUCCUGUUGCUGUGUUGUUCUCGCUGGUGGUGUUGCCUGACUGAUGCUUUGAUAUACAGCAACUGUGUUGUAGUUCCUUGUUUGCUGGUUUGGUCAUCGUUAUAUUUACACGACCAAAACACACCAUACACUUACAAAUUUUGUUAAAUGCAUUUCCUUGUAUGCUGACAAAGAAUUUUUGUUUUGUUUGUGUGUGGAUCUUGGGGAUGUGAAUGAGCUGGCCAAGAGAAACAAUUAAACGAAGGGAGUGUGUGUGAGAGAGAAAGAGAGAGAGGCUUUGGCUUUGGAUUUCGGGGUUGGGGUCGGGGUCGGGGUAGGGGUAGGGGCGUUCUGGUUCAUGGGAAAAUCCCUCUCAUGGCUUUGGAUGAAGGCAUCUCAUAGUACAGUUAACAUAGCAGGGUUCAUGAAUCAUGCGUCAAACAGUAAUGAUGGCAGAGACACAUGCAUAUUAAGUUUUUUAUUUUUAUUUCGGAUGGGAUGGUAAUAAGAUAAUAACUGAGGUGAUGAUGGCCCACCUUACUUUAAUUUCUUUUUCAUGUCGGGAUUCAUUUCAUCAGAUUUGACGCUUUGUUUUUAUUGUUUGUUUGUAUGAUAUACACUAUAUAAAAUUUAUUUUUUAUAUGAAAAUUUUUGAAUUAGCUCUAGGCUACUCCAAAUAAAAUUUUCUGUCCAAGGUCUUAUAAGGGUGAAAGUGAAACCUCAUUUGGACACAAAGGGACCUAGUCCUCAUAAUUUUGGAGUAUUUUAUCAUGGUUUUAAAAUUUUUAAUUUACAUCUCCUCAAAAUUUUUAUAAAUUCUAACCAUAGUUUUUUAAAAAAUUAUUUGAACACUCUCAUUUAGAUCUAGUCAUGGUCAGGCCAUCACUUGCACAGGUAUGAAGGUCUGUCUGAAAAGUAGGAAGGUUUAAAACAAAUAUAUGCUUAAAAAAUGAGAUUAGAAAAAAAAGUUUGUUUUCUAAACAGACUGAGCCUCGGGUAAGAUUUUUGCCUAGAGCUGGCUCGAAUUUGUUUAAAAAAAUUUUCAAUGUUAUUUUGCUACUAUUGCUACCACUUUUGUGUUGUUUUGUUGUCAUUUUACUAUUAUAUUGUUACUAUUUUGUUGUUAUUAUUUGAUUAUUAUAUACCACUUGUUUUAUUAUUAAUUUUGCUACUACUUUAGUGGUAUUUGUUUGCUAAAUUGCACUAUCUUAAUCUUAUUUAAGUAUUAAGAUUGUUUUAAUGUAUUUUCAAUUUGUUGGGAAAUAUUUAUUUUAAUGUUUUGAGUGCAUUUGAUAUAUUAUAUUUUUAAAUUUUUUUAUAUAAAAAAAUUAAUAUGAGUUGGGUUGCGCUCAAGUUUAACAUUUUUUAUCUAAUUCAGAUUUGGACAAAAUUUUAAACCUAUUAUUCUAAUUGAAUCCAAACCUAAAAUUCUAUAUUGACCAAACUCGGCUGAUAAUCAAGUCUACUCCCAUUAAUCUUUGAAAAAUUUUAAUUAAAUCCUCAGUUUUUUAAAAUUUAAAACGUUGAUAUAUCUUCUUGAAUUCCAAUGUCGCAGAUGCUUGCUUGAUAGGUUGUAGCUUUUGUGGGGGCUGAUCUCCGUUCUGCACACUUGCAGGUUAUCAUUAAAUUGAAUAAAAUGAACAUUUACUGCAAAACCUUAGCUUACAAUUCACAUACAAAGUAUCACUUUGAUUACACAUAUGAUUAUUUUAAACUUUUUUAAUUUUUAAAUUUGCAGUAUGUCAAGUGAUCGUCUGUGCAUGUAAAUUGGAUUUGAUGAGAAAGGAUACCUUCGUAGUGAGUUUAAAAAAGGAGUUGAAUACGUAGAUUUUGAAUUUUAAAACGUUAAUGUGUUGGUCAAAAUAAGAUUUAAGCGUGAAUUUGAAGGGCAGUGCGAGAUGCAUUUAACUUAUUUUUCAUCUUACGCUAUAAAAUCGUUAUAAUAUUUAAUUU